Molecule: ribosomal RNA, 402 nt
Filed under: uncultured bacterium
Lineage: Bacteria
Description: bacterial SSU rRNA
Rfam family: Bacterial small subunit ribosomal RNA
Source: RNAcentral
AACGAACGUUAGCGGCGCGCCUAACACAUGCAAGUCGCACGAGAAAGGGCUUCGGCCCCGGUAAAGUGGCGCACGGGUGAGUAACACGUGGGUAAUCUGCCCUCGGGCUGGGGAUAACAUUCCGAAAGGAGUGCUAAUACCGAAUAAGACCACGACCUCGAAAGAGGAUGCGGUCAAAGCUGGCCUCUAUACAUAAGCUAGCACCUGAGGAUGAGCCCGCGGCGCAUCAGCUAGUUGGUGAGGUAAUGGCUCACCAAGGCUAAGACGCGUAGCUGGUCUGAGAGGAUGAUCAGCCACACUGGAACUGAGACACGGUCCAGACUCCUACGGGAGGCAGCAGUGGGGAAUCUUGCGCAAUGGGCGAAAGCCUGACGCAGCGACGCCGCGUGAGUGAUGAAGGCC